GGCAGAGCCAGUAGGGCGUGAUUAUAGCUAGUCAUAGUUACUCUGAUA
Glossina fuscipes fuscipes is the source of this 48-nucleotide non-coding RNA. Lineage: Eukaryota; Metazoa; Arthropoda; Insecta; Diptera; Glossinidae. The record is from Rfam.